Molecule: ribosomal RNA, 467 nt
Filed under: uncultured bacterium
Lineage: Bacteria
Description: bacterial SSU rRNA
Rfam family: Bacterial small subunit ribosomal RNA
Source: RNAcentral
UAAGGAAUAUUGGUCAAUGCCCGGAAGGGUGAACCAGCCAUCCCGCGUGAAGGAUGAAGGGGCUCUGCCUUGUAAACUUCUUUUGAAUGGGACGAAAAAGCCUCACUUGUGAGGAACUGACGGUACCAUUAGAAUAAGCACCGGCUAACUCCGUGCCAGCAGCCGCGGUAAUACGGAGGGUGCGAGCGUUAUCCGGAAUCACUGGGUUUAAAGGGUGCGUAGGCGGCUGUAUAAGUCAGUGGUGAAAGGCUGUGGCUUAACCAUGGGAUUGCCAUUGAUACUGUACGGCUUGAAUUAGGAUGAGGUUGGCGGAAUGUGACAUGUAGCGGUGAAAUGCUUAGAUAUGUCAUGGAACAUCGAUUGCGAAGGCAGCUGACUGGACCUUAAUUGACGCUGAGGCACGAAAGCGUGGGGAGCGAACAGGAUUAGAUACCCCCGUAGUCCCUGAGCGGGCUGGCAAGGCGCAU